RNAcentral lists this ribosomal RNA (483 nucleotides) under Streptococcus mitis. RNAcentral describes it as "bacterial SSU rRNA". It matches the Rfam family "Bacterial small subunit ribosomal RNA", at positions 28 to 495 of the family's 1533-position model. The record is from RNAcentral. Lineage: Bacteria; Bacillati; Bacillota; Bacilli; Lactobacillales; Streptococcaceae.
GACGAACGCUGGCGGCGUGCCUAAUACAUGCAAGUAGAACGCUGAAGGAGGAGCUUGCUUCUCUGGAUGAGUUGCGAACGGGUGAGUAACGCGUAGGUAACCUGCCUGGUAGCGGGGGACAACUAUUGGAAACGAUAGCUAAUACCGCAUAAUAGUAGAUGUUGCAUGACAUUUGCUUAAAAGGUGCAAUUGCAUCACCACCAGAUGGACCUGCGUUGUAUUAGCUAGUUGGUGAGGUAACGGCUCACCAAGGCGACGAUACAUAGCCGACCUGAGAGGGUGAUCGGCCACACUGGGACUGAGACACGGCCCAGACUCCUACGGGAGGCAGCAGUAGGGAAUCUUCGGCAAUGGACGGAAGUCUGACCGAGCAACGCCGCGUGAGUGAAGAAGGUUUUCGGAUCGUAAAGCUCUGUUGUAAGAGAAGAACGAGUGUGAGAGUGGAAAGUUCACACUGUGACGGUAUCUUACCAGAAAGGACGG